Molecule: ribosomal RNA, 468 nt
Filed under: uncultured bacterium
Lineage: Bacteria
Description: partial 16S ribosomal RNA
Rfam family: Bacterial small subunit ribosomal RNA
Source: RNAcentral
GACGAACGCUGGCGGCGUGCUUAACACAUGCAAGUCGAACGGAAAGGCCCUGCUUUUGUGGGGUGCUCGAGUGGCGAACGGGUGAGUAACAAGUGAGUAACCUGCCCUUGACUUUGGGAUAACUUCAGGAAACUGGGGCUAAUACCGGAUAGGAGCUCCUGCUGCAUGGUGGGGGUUGGAAAGUUUCGGCGGUUGGGGAUGGACUCGCGGCUUAUCAGCUUGUUGGUGGGGUAGUGGCUUACCAAGGCUUUGACGGGUAGCCGGCAUGCGAGGGUGACCGGCCACAUUGGGACUGAGAUACGGGCCGUACUCCUACGGGAGGAAGCAGUGAGGAAUAUUGCACAAUGGGCGGAAGCCUGAUUCAGCCACGCCGCGUGCGGGAUGACUGCCUUCGGGUUGUAAACCGCUUUCGGCUGUGACGAAGCGUGAGUGACGGUAAUGGGUAAGGAAGCACCGGCUAACUACGUG